UACGAAGGGGGCGAGCGUUGUUCGGAAUUACUGGGCGUAAAGGGCGCGUAGGCGGCCGAUCAAGUCAGAUGUGAAAGUCCUGGGCUUAACCUGGGGACUGCAUUUGAUACUGAUUGGCUUGAAUGCAGGAGAGGAUAGCGGAAUUCCCAGUGUAGAGGUGAAAUUCGUAGAUAUUGGGAAGAACACCGGUGGCGAAGGCGGCUAUCUGGACUGUGAUUGACGCUGAGGCGCGAAAGCGUGGGGAGCAAAAGGG
This 253-nucleotide ribosomal RNA is filed under the name uncultured bacterium. RNAcentral's name for it is "partial 16S ribosomal RNA". It matches the Rfam family "Bacterial small subunit ribosomal RNA", at positions 524 to 776 of the family's 1533-position model. The record is from RNAcentral.